UAUGUGAUCGUCUCUCGCAUAUCAAUAAGCGGAGGAAAAGAAACUAACAAGGAUUCCCCUAGUAACGGCGAGUGAAGCGGGAAGAGCUCAAAUUUGAAAUCUUAAAGGAUUUCCCUUUACGAAUUGUAGUUUAAAGAAGUGUUUUCUGUUGAGGUUUUGGUAAGAGUUCUUUGGAAUAGGACAUCAUAGAGGGUGAGAAUCCCGUAUUUGACCUUUACUUUCAACUUUGUGAUACACUUUCAAAGAGUCGGAUUGUUUGGGAAUGCAGUCCAAAAUGGGUGGUAAAUUUCAUCUAAAGCUAAAUAUUGGCGAGAGACCGAUAGCGAACAAGUACCGUGAGGGAAAGAUGAAAAGAACUUUGAAAAGAGAGUUAAACAGUACGUGAAAUUGUCAAAAGGGAAGCGUUUGACACCAGUGUUGUUUUUCUGAAAAUCAAUUAAAGAACUGUUUAUGCUAAGUUGUUUAGACUUUAUCAGCUAACUGUUUAGUUUUGAGCUUUUCUUUAAUGCACUUUUCAGUUAACAAGUCGACAUCAAUUUCUUUUGCUGUAAAAAAGCUUGAGGAAGGUGGCUUGAGAUUCGUCUUAAGUAGUUUAUAGCCUCUUGCCUAUGCAGUCGGAGAGAUUGAGGUCUGCAGCGUAGAUCCUUCGGGGCUAAAUGCAUUUGUGCUAAGUUAUAGCAUUUUAUAGACAACUUGUUGACUAUGAUUUGUCUUGUAGCUUACUCGCUUAUGUUAUUUUACCUACGCUUAGGAUGUUGAGUCGUAGAGCACGCAG
This 775-nucleotide ribosomal RNA is filed under the name uncultured Neocallimastigales. RNAcentral's name for it is "partial large subunit ribosomal RNA". It matches the Rfam family "Eukaryotic large subunit ribosomal RNA", at positions 24 to 628 of the family's 3401-position model. Lineage: Eukaryota; Fungi; Neocallimastigomycota; Neocallimastigomycetes; Neocallimastigales. The record is from RNAcentral.